GUGCCAGCCGCCGCGGUAAUACGGAGGAUGCAAGCGUUAUCCGGAUUUAUUAGGUUUAAAGGGUGCGCAGGCGGAAAUGUAAGUCAGUGGUGAAAUCCUACAGCUUAACUGUAGAACUGCCAUUGAAACUACUUUUCUUGAGUAUAGUUGAGGUAGGCGGAAUGCGUAGUGUAGCGGUGAAAUGCAUAGAUAUUACACAGAACACCGAUUGCGAAGGCAGCUUACUAAACUAUUACUGACGCUCAUGCACGAAAGCGUGGGGAACGAACAGGAUUAGAAACCCGGGUAGUCC
RNAcentral lists this ribosomal RNA (292 nucleotides) under uncultured bacterium. Its description in RNAcentral is "partial 16S ribosomal RNA". It matches the Rfam family "Bacterial small subunit ribosomal RNA", at positions 505 to 796 of the family's 1533-position model. The record is from RNAcentral.